RNAcentral lists this long non-coding RNA (621 nucleotides) under Brassica napus (rape). Its description in RNAcentral is "long non-coding RNA (BNAP_LNC000652)". The record is from RNAcentral. Lineage: Eukaryota; Viridiplantae; Streptophyta; Magnoliopsida; Brassicales; Brassicaceae.
GCCGUGGCAGACAUGUGGGGUAGUGAACUCCAUAAGUAGAAAAAUGAACAGUCUUUUUUUUUUUCACUGGAAGGAUUUGUCAUUAUUAAAACCCAAGUAAAACAUUGAAAAAGCCCAACCGGGCAAGAGAGAAAAUUUACAAAUGGCCCAACAGGCCCAACAAAAGAAAACCCUAGGGAAGAACGCGGCCGAUUCGGACACCACGCGUUAACAUUUGGCGUGGUCUGGACACGUGUCCACCAUGCGAGUCACCACCGAUCUCAGCCGGCAGAACGAUUUCGGUAAGGUUCUAAUCGGCGAUCCACUGGAAACACACCGGAACAGGAACCCGUUCAAAGAACCUCGACGGAAACAAUAUCAGAAUUGAAGGCGCUUGAAACUUGAGCGUGAAAUCUAUCCAUGACCUCACGAGCCAAAGGAUCCUUCUUCUUUGAUGAAGUUCCAAUCGAGAGACAACGAACUCAAACCAACGAGAUUCGAACCGAUUGAAACAAAAAGCUUGAAGAAGAAGAGAUCAGACAACCGGGAUAAACGAAAAAUGGUCAACCAGAACCAUCUUUUACGCUUGAUCGAGUCAAACACAGACUCACGUUUCCAAUAAAAUCAAGGGAAAUUUGGCUG